Molecule: long non-coding RNA, 550 nt
Organism: Engraulis encrasicolus (European anchovy)
Lineage: Eukaryota; Metazoa; Chordata; Actinopteri; Clupeiformes; Engraulidae
Exons: 4
Source: RefSeq, a predicted model, not a curated record
CGUUUGUUACAUUUGGAUCACGCGCGCACUGUCCUAGUUCAGCCAGCCGCCCGCGCCAGAGAGAGCCGAGGUCGACUCAUCCCGAAGUAGCUGACGGUCGACUCACCCCGAAGAAGCUCAAAUGUCCUUCUCUUUCGUGAGGAUUUCGCAACUAGCAAAAACUCAGUGCAGUGGAAUGCCCGGAGGUCCUGGUCAACAAAAGAAAAGGGAAGUGACCGAACCUGAAGAAGUCAAACUACUGUCCGGAUUCUCCACAAGGGCAAAAUGCUGGAGUGAUGGAGGGGCAUUUAGAUGGAGGUAAUGAAGAAAGACCCAGACAACACAACAGUGGAUGAAGUGAUGUCUGCUACUUUCUCGCUUCGCCGUAAAGAAACAGUUGGGGAUCAACCCAUGGUUGCCGACAGCAUGGAGAGAUGGCCGGCCAUGUUUUCUGAACGACAGGCCCAUGGUGACACACUUGGAGAAGCAACGAAAGACAUCCACCUUGGAAUUCUGAUUAGCUACGAAGUCAACCCGGAGGGAGCCUUUCCAGCAGCUUGUUUCGGAAGUU